CAGUUUCUACCUGCUGCGGACAAAUCCAGUGAAUAUGCGUAUCAACUCCCCCUGCAGUCAGAAUCUGCCCUUCACCUGCGAUCACUUCAGUUGCUGCUCCUAAAGGAAUAGUAAUGUUGGGUUGAAUAUCCGGGUUACCAGCCUUACCAAUUUUCCAGAUCCGGCCAUUUUUUAGACCGACAUCAGCCUUAAUAAUUCCCCACCAGUCGACAAUUAACGCAUUAGUAAUUAUGGUAUCGGCCACCUCCUCUGCUAGCAGCUGCGAUUGCCCCAUUCCAUCACGA
This is a non-coding RNA of Acinetobacter radioresistens SK82, 284 nucleotides long. NCBI's taxonomy places the organism in Bacteria, Pseudomonadati, Pseudomonadota, Gammaproteobacteria, Moraxellales, Moraxellaceae. The record is from Rfam.